UGAGUUGAUUGGAUAGUCGCAGGCAUAAGGUGAAAACCUGUGCGUGAGGAAAGUCCGGGCUCCAAAGGGCAGGGUGCCGGGUAGUUCCCGGUGAAGGCGACUUCAAGGAUAGUGCAACAGAAAUAUACCGCCGGUAAUAAUCGGUAAGGGUGGAAAGGCGAGGUAAGAGCUCACCAGCGGGCUGGCGACAGUCCGGCUCUGUAAACCCCACCUGGAGCAACACCGUGGAGGGACAUUAAUGUGGCCCGCAUGUCCCGGGGAGGUGGCUUGAGCCAUUCAGAAAUGAUUGGCCUAGAUAGAUGACUGUCCACGACAGGACCCGGCUUAUAGAUCAACUCAGAAA
Molecule: RNase P RNA, 343 nt
Filed under: Clostridiaceae bacterium
Lineage: Bacteria; Bacillati; Bacillota; Clostridia; Eubacteriales; Clostridiaceae
Description: RNase P RNA component class A
Rfam family: Bacterial RNase P class A
About the family: Ribonuclease P (RNase P) is a ubiquitous endoribonuclease, found in archaea, bacteria and eukarya as well as chloroplasts and mitochondria. Its best characterised activity is the generation of mature 5'-ends of tRNAs by cleaving the 5'-leader elements of precursor-tRNAs.
Source: RNAcentral